GUGUGAACACGUUGUCUCUGGCAGCAGCAGUAGAACAGUGGUAGAACAGUAGUAGCACAGUCUUAGUUCAUAUAAGCGCAGUCACUGUUUACACGUGUACGGUCGCAGUCACUGUGAAGCGUCGCAGAGAACAAAGUGAACGAAGGGUGGCACUACCCAAAAAAAUAACAACAAAUAAAGAUACAGAAAGUGGGAGAGGGUAACACGGAGAGAGAGAGAGAGAGAGGGAGAGAAGCAGAUGUUAGCUGGCAAAUAUGAAUCGCAUGUGAAAUGACUUUAUUUGUGUCAACAAAACUCGAAAACGAAACUCGAAAACAAAACCAAAUUAAACAGCAUUUUACUCGCAUCGGCAGCAACCGUAGCAGCAGCAGCAACACAACAACACAACAACAACAACAGCAGCUGGCAAACAGCAUUGAACAACAAUUGACAUCACGCAUUCGCCGCGUUUGACGCCGCAACAUUUUUGCGCUGCAAAACGCAACAAUUUUUGUGUGUUAAUUGGUCGUGGCGAAUGGUGUCGCACGAAUUGCGAAUAAAGUUGCAGCACAGCAGCAACUGAAGCGCAACGGCCAAGAAUAAUAUAGCACCAGCGGCGGCAGCUGACACAAGCAACAACAGCAACAACAGCAACAACUUGCG
This is a long non-coding RNA of Drosophila hydei, 642 nucleotides long. RefSeq lists it as uncharacterized. The transcript has 3 exons. Lineage: Eukaryota; Metazoa; Arthropoda; Insecta; Diptera; Drosophilidae. The record is from RefSeq and is a predicted model, not a curated record.